AAAAAUGUGUAAAAUCUCAAGCGUGCUGCCAUGUACAAUUUUGUAUUCCUAGAAAGUAAGCUAUAUUAAUAAAUAUUUUAUUUGUAAUUUUAAGCAAUGUCUAUUUCUUUCUCGCACCCACUCUAUAAUAUAUAUCUCUUUCCUAUAUCCGAGUCAAAAAUUAUACUCGCACCUGUUUUUACCUUAGUUAUCACUAUAUAAUAGCAAAAAGUUCUCUCUCUCGCGCUUACAAAGCAUACUUGACCUAUAAACCUAUUGACCCAUUUACAAAAACUCGUACCUGACCGAGCCGCACCCCCGCUGGGUAAAAACGCUCGGCACUAAGAUCUGCUUUUUCCUAUUCAAAAUCCAGUAGUAUACUCAGGGCAGCCAAUCAAGGCUCGGGGCAGCCAUGGAGUGCCAAUCAAGACUCGGGGCAGCCAUGGGAUAUCCAAUCAUAACCCUCCGUUCAAAAUCGUGACGACACAAACUCAGGCUACCCAUUCAAGGCUCAGGGCAGCCAUGGGGUGCCAAUCAAAACACGUCGUUCAAACUCGUGACGUCACAGCGUCUAGUCUUCCCCACCAGGCCCAGACGGGGGAAGGGGGUUAGGUUUGACACCACUCGGAGGAAGAGUGGAGUUAGGUUUGACAUCAGGCCGAGAAAAAAAGAAGUUCGGGUUUGUUUUGAUGCACCAUGGCUGCCCCAGACAGAGGGGGAAGGGGGCAGACACCCCCCGCUGUGAGGGCGAGGAGUGGGGGUUUGUUUUGACGCCCCAUGGCUUCCCCUAUACUACUACUGGGACAACUCGAGGUCCAUAAUUUGGCAUAGAUUGGAAUUUGUGUUUCAAUUAAAUAUAAGCAAUGUAAAGGAUUGCGAUUCAUUGAAAUUUAACAAGGAGACUAAUCCAUGUUACAAGAUACGUGGAAUUUAGCGCAGCUAUUGCAAGUGUAGUUGAAGGAUUUCCUCGCGAGAGGACAAAAGUGCCUAUAGAUAUAUAUUAUCAACAGAUCUACACAAGAUGUAAGGCCAACUAUACAAACUGAUAGAUUUUGAAUAGACAUGAAACCGUUGCCAGAAAAUACAACGUUUACACAAGUCAUGAAAACUGAAGAUUUUACUUGUAUUGGAAUACAAACUGGAAGACCAUAAUAACAAGACUCCGAUAUAAAUAAAAUAAAAUAGUUGUAUGUAUUUUCUUAAAGUCCAAAUACAAUGAAAGUAUAAUGAAAAUACACUUAUAUACUUUGUUUAUUGACGAAGUAAGAUUUCCGUAAGAAAAUAAUACAAGUACUAAAAUAGAACUAAUAACGCAAAUAUUGUCAAAACUAUAAUUAAACAUUAAACAGAUAAAAUUGCACAAAUAAGUAUUAAUAUAGUACAACGCGAAAUACUUAUCGCCUGUAGUGCAAAUUUUCAGUCGUCAGCAUCAGCAAGGUGAUCUCGUUGAUGCUAGCGGAUGAAAACUUGCACCAUUGCUUAUCACUUACAUUGUAUAAUGCAUACGGUGUAUCACAGCAUCGUAAAUAAUACUGUUGUUUUGUACAAAA
Monomorium pharaonis (pharaoh ant) is the source of this 1529-nucleotide long non-coding RNA. RefSeq lists it as uncharacterized. NCBI's taxonomy places the organism in Eukaryota, Metazoa, Arthropoda, Insecta, Hymenoptera, Formicidae. The transcript has 3 exons. The record is from RefSeq and is a predicted model, not a curated record.